UACGAAGGGGGCUAGCGUUGCUCGGAAUUACUGGGCGUAAAGGGAGCGUAGGCGGAUAGUUUAGUCAGGGGUGAAAGCCCAAGGCUCAACCUUGGAAUUGCCUUUGAUACUGAGGGCCUUGAGACCGGAAGAGGUCGGCGGAACUGCGAGUGUAGAGGUGAAAUUCGUAGAUAUUCGCAAGAACACCAGUGGCGAAGGCGGCCGACUGGUCCGGUUCUGACGCUGAGGCGCGAAAGCGUGGGGAGCAAACAGG
RNAcentral lists this ribosomal RNA (253 nucleotides) under uncultured bacterium. Its description in RNAcentral is "partial 16S ribosomal RNA". It matches the Rfam family "Bacterial small subunit ribosomal RNA", at positions 524 to 776 of the family's 1533-position model. The record is from RNAcentral.